CCCAGGCAGGCAGAGCUUCCACACACUGCGGAGACCCAUUCCAGUAAUUCAGAAUGCAACACCUGGACAGAAUGUGCAGCCUGUAACAGUGCUCAUUUAUUUUCACUCAGCCUGGCCUACCAAGCAGAAGUCCCAGAGGUACUCCGUGUCCUCAUUAGCAUGUUUUAUUCUACAGGCAUCGCCAGCAGUCCUCAUCAGAAAAGUUAAUACCAGGUUUCCUGGUAGGUAGGACGCUUCACGGUUGCCCAGUGGUCUUUUGGGCUAUUAGAUUGACCGCAUUCCAGUCCCUACUAUUUUGGUUGGGGAACAAAGGAAAUUAAACCCACCUCCAAAUACAGCCCCGUGUAAGUUUUAGGUCUGGUCUUCCCACCAGAAACCCAGCACCGGGGUUGUGUGUGUGUGUGUGUGGGGGGGGGUGCAGCUGGCCUGGGGCGCGGGCCAGGGAGCGCCCGUUCAAGGCCAGAGAUGCGCAGCGGGCGUUGGGUGGACCCGAGGGCACGAACGGGGAGCCAGAACUCUGCUCGGAAGUCAAGGUUUGAACUUCCCAAUCCCGAACGGAUCUGCCUCAGCACACGUCAGUAGCCGGGGCACGGUUUCGCGAAGGGUCUUCUUCGCCCCUCCUUCUUCCGCCCCGCCUUAUUCUUAGGGAAUUUCAAGAGUUUCCCCGAGCCUUGCAAGCGCCUUUACCAGCACCGGGACUCCCUACGUGUUCAGAGGCCCUUCCCAGGGGGCUCCGCUCAGCCACCCGACGGCUUCGGGGGAGAGAAGGGUGGAGGCAGGGCGGCAAGUGACAACUCGAAUGAAGUCGAGCGCUCGCUCCUUGGCCGUCGGGUCGCCGGCCUGGCCUCCCCUCCCCCUUCUGGACCGCGAAGCCGGGAGGCUGCGGGGAGCUGGAGCCGCGGGGCCCGGGAUGCUAAGAUGGCAGGAGGGGCCCGCGGAGCCCUCUCCCCAAAGCUUUCACUUCUGUUCGGCCCAGCGUCAUCUGGCACAAAAACAAAACAAAACAACAACAAACUUUCAACACAGACUCAUCCCGAGUUAUUUCUGUCUGGAUUGAGGCGGGACACAAUGAACGCGGCGCGAAGUCCUUUACAGAGUGAGCUCGUGUUUUAGCAGUUGGUUUUGGAAAAGCGUCCUGGCGCCCGCUCGUUCUAAACGCCCGUUCCUCCUCUAACGCUCCGCAGGUCACCACCACCCAUUCAAGAUUUCUUCUGCCCGGGAGUUGCCAGCGUGGAGUAAAAAAAAAAAAAAAAAAAAAAAAAAAAGCUGGCUGUGUGUGCGUGCUAAGGGGUUCAACCCGGAGCACCGCGCCGCCUCGCACAAAGUAACUACUGUUGGCCUAAAAACCCCAAGAGCGGCACCCUCAUCUACGUGUCUUCAGGCUUGAUCCUCAAGAGUCUAAGCAGGAACCACGUGGAAGUCAAGUUGCCGCGGCUUUAACAAAGCACUCUGUUACAAAAGGACUCUGCUUUUUUUUUUUUUAAUUUUUUUUCAAGGCUACGGAACGGCCGGCAGGAUUUCCAUAAGAAAAAAAAAAAGCACGCAUUGUACAGCACUGUAUGGAGCACCCUAAGCAAACUGGACUGAGACGUCCAACCCAAGCC
This is a long non-coding RNA of Meriones unguiculatus (Mongolian gerbil), 1604 nucleotides long. NCBI's taxonomy places the organism in Eukaryota, Metazoa, Chordata, Mammalia, Rodentia, Muridae. The record is from Ensembl.